UAAAAUUGUAUCAGACGGUGGACUCUAUAAGCAAUACACAAGCUCACUAAUUUUGGUAUAAAUUUUGUUUUGGAUAGUCAUCAUUUUCUCCAAACAAUUUUCAAUGGUAUCCAAUUAUGUUUGAUAGUUUUUGUUAUUUUUCUUACUCUUGACACAUGUUUUGACUAUUCAUAUUGUUUUCUUAGAUUGCUACUCUUUUUUUCUUUUCUUUUUUUAAUUUUGCUCUCAAUUUGUCUGCAUAACAAUUAGAAUCAAGAGGAUUUUAUAUUCUUUUGUGUGUGUUUGCAGAUCCCGAAUUCAUUUUUUGUGUCUCAAUCAAUGUUAGAAGAAAAAAAAAGAGAUAUGAGUUUGUGGACUUUCAAUUUGAGAGGUGUGUGUAUUCCAGAAGGAGAAUAAUAAUCAAAGCUUUCUGAGGCGUGCAAAUAGAGUGGUCGAUUGCUACCGCAACAUAUAAAGGCUUUUUGAGGCGUGCAAAUGGAGUGGUUGAUUGCUACCGCAACAUAUAAAGGGUAACAUUUAAGCUUGAAGUGACAGAUGCAUGUUUGGAUACAAGUUAUGCCAUCGGGAACUUUAGUAAGCUGUCAUAAAAUUAAAAAAUAUA
This is a long non-coding RNA of Trifolium pratense (red clover), 601 nucleotides long. RefSeq lists it as uncharacterized. NCBI's taxonomy places the organism in Eukaryota, Viridiplantae, Streptophyta, Magnoliopsida, Fabales, Fabaceae. The record is from RefSeq and is a predicted model, not a curated record. The transcript has 4 exons.